ACCCGCUGAACUUAAGCAUAUCAGUAACGGCAGGAAAAGAAAAUAACAAUGAUUCCCCUAGUAACUGCGAGUGAAGUGGGAAGAGUCCAACGUUGAAAGCUGUAUCUCUAGUCGGAUACUGCAUUGUAACGUAUAGACCUGUCAUCGAGAUGAGGGCCGGUUUCAAAGUUGCAUAGAAUGGCACACCAUAGAGGGUUAAAGUCCCGUAAAUGAAACCGGCAAACAACAUCAUCAAGCAUGACAGAGUCAAAGAGUCGGGCUGUUUGGGAAUGCAGUCUAAAGUGGGUAGUAAACUCCAUCUAAGACUAAAUAUAACUCCGGGACCGAUAGCGAACAAGUACCGUGAGGGAAAGUUGAAAAGCACUCAGAAAUGAAAGUGAAAAGGGCGUGAAACCGUUAAUGGGGAAGCGAACGAUGGAAUCAAAGUGACUUGCUGUGGGUGUGCGUCAUCCUCACAAGGAUACGUAACAGGUAGCAGCAAGUUACGCGCCGGACUCACUGUUUAAAGGGGCUGGCACCCAAUACAGUUGUAGAUAUAGAGUUUUUCAUGAGAUUUUCUCCGAUUUACAAUGUAUUGGUGUUGUUGUAGAGUCUCAAAAUAGUGUUUGAUGUGUGAUGCCCUGUUGAAUGACACAUGUGUGUGUGUGGUCACAUGGUAAUUUUGUGUCGGGUCGGGAAUACCUGGCCCGGCAAAGGUUGUUGUUAGGCCAUGCACAUGCAUGUGCUAUUCAGUAGAGCGCUUCAACAGAAGCACACGUAAUUCCGGCGAGAUAUGCUAUUGUUCGACCCGUCCUUGAAACACGGACCAAGGAGGCUAACGUAUGCGCGAGUCCGAGGAGUUGAGAAACUCUUGGGCGCAACGAAAGUGAAAUGUGAGAUCCCCUCCGGUGCAAACCGGGGGCGCACCACAGACCAGUUGGAAGAUUGACUACAAUUGAGUUGUAGCGUAUACGAUAGGACCCGAAAGAUGGUGAUCCUAUGCUUGAGUAGGCUGAAUUCAUUGGAAACAAUGAUGGAAGGCCAUAGCGGUUCUGACGUGCAAAUCGAUCGUAAAACUUGAGUAUAGGGGCGAAAGACCAAUCGAACCAUCUAGUAGCUGGUUCCCUCCGAAAUAUCCCUCAGGAUCGCCGGAGUCCGUCUAGGCACAGUUUCAUCGGGUAGAGCGAAUGAUUAGAGGUGUAAGGGUCGUUUCUGGCCUUUAACUAUUCUCAAACUGCAAACCGGUGAUACAGUGAGCCGUUUCUUGAGUGAACGUGCACACUAGAAUGUGAGGACUCUGAGUGGGCCACUUUUGGUAAGCAGAACUGGCGAUGCGGGAUGAACCGAGAGUCAGGUUAAGGUGCUCAAGUGAAGGCUAAUGGACACCACAAAAGGAGUUGAUAAAUGAUAACAGUGAGGCGGUUGCCCUGGAAGUAGGAAUCCGCUAAGAAACGUGUAACAACGUACUUACCGAAUUUAUCGGCCCUGAAAAUGGAUAGCGCUCAGCCUUACACCGAUACCUGACCGUAGACGCGAGAAAUGACGUCUAUGGGUAGGAGGGUGUUGUGGUCGCAGCGAAGAAUGUAUGUGAAUGCAUUUGGAGCGGCCACAAGUACAGAUCUUGGUUUUAGUAGCAGCAGCAUAGAAGUGAGAACCUUCUAGGCCGAAGUGGAGAAGGGUUCCUCGUGAACAGCAGUUGGACGAGGGUUAGUCGGUCCUGAGA
Molecule: ribosomal RNA, 1702 nt
Filed under: Myxobolus lentisuturalis
Lineage: Eukaryota; Metazoa; Cnidaria; Myxozoa; Bivalvulida; Myxobolidae
Description: eukaryotic LSU rRNA
Rfam family: Eukaryotic large subunit ribosomal RNA
Source: RNAcentral